Molecule: ribosomal RNA, 442 nt
Filed under: uncultured bacterium
Lineage: Bacteria
Description: partial 16S ribosomal RNA
Rfam family: Bacterial small subunit ribosomal RNA
Source: RNAcentral
CCUACGGGUGGCAGCAGUGGGGAAUAUUGGGCAAUGGGCGAAAGCCUGACCCAGCAACGCCGCGUGAAGGAAGAAGGCUUUCGGGUUGUAAACUUCUUUUGACAGGGAAGAGCAGAAGACGGUACCUGUCGAAUAAGCCACGGCUAACUACGUGACAGCAGCCGCGGGAAUACGUAGGUGGCAAGCGUUGCCCGGAUUUACUGGGUGUAAAGGGAGCGUAGACGGCAGUGCAAGUCUGGAGUGAAAGGCGGGGGCUCAACCCCCGGACUGCACUGGAAACUGUACGGCUUGAGUGCAGGAGAGGUAAGUGGAAUUCCUGGUGUAGCGGUGAAAUGCGUAGAUAUUAGGAGGAACACCAGUGGCGAAGGCAGCUUACUGGACUGUAACUGACGUUGAGGCUCGAAAGCGUGGGGAGCAAACAGGAUUAGAUACCCUAGUAGUC